AAAAAUUUAUUUAUUUGAAUUUUUAUUUUUAUUUGAAAAUUUAUUUUCUUUUAUAAUUUUUUUUAAAAUUAGCAACCGACUUUUAGGUUGCUAAAUUAGUUGAAAAUAGCAAUUGAUUUACAAACUGGUUGCAAAAUUAUAAAAUUAAAGACACCAAAUUUGUUGCAACUGAUUAUGUUUCGAUUGCUAUUAACAACCGAUUUCAAUUACUAAAUCGGUUUCUUCCAACAACCGAAAGUUUUUUACCAAAUUUUUUUUAAAGUUUAAUUAAUUUAGCCACCGAUUUGGUUAUCGGUUGCUAUUUACAAUAGAUUUGGUUGUCAGUUGUUAUUUGUAACCGGGCUCAUUGUAACCUACUGAAUCGGUUGCUAAAUCGAUUAGCAACCAAUUUUAAUGGAUUAACAACUGAUUCGGUCGGUUGUUAAUUCUUUCUUUUUUUUUUUUUUUAUAGUGAAUAUACAUUCUCAAUAUGCUUAUGUUAAUAUCUCACACAGUUUGGGAUAGGGUUAAUGUCCCCUUAUAAAGCCUUUGGCACUCCUUUCUCCUUUCCAAUCGAUAUUGGGCCUUUAUAAGUGUUUUAUGCUCUAAGUGUUUAGUCCUAAAUGUGAGAAGUGUGUUAAUAUUCACUUUGUUUUGGGAUAGGGAUAUUGUACUCCUUUUAAAGUUUUAGGCACUCCUCCCCCUCAAUUAGCUUCUGGGAGUGAAUUAAAUUUGAUCCAUUUUCUUAAGAGUUUCUUUCUUGUUAGGUUAUUAUAAGUUUCAGUGAUUUCUGGUUUUUUCAUAGGUUAAUUGUUCAGUUAAAUUGCUGUGAAAGUGUAUUUUGAUUUUCUCUUCUUCUAAAUUUAUUAUGACGUAUAUCUUAUCUUAUAAUUCAAUGAUAAGUAAAAGAAGAAAAAGAAAAGGGAAAAGUACAAUUUAGUAUCCUUUAUUUUUGCACUUUUUUAAAUUCAAGAAUUAAAGAAUGUUUCAUGAUAAAUCGAGUAUUGAAUUAUAUCGCUGUUAGCAAAUCGAGAAAAAAAGUGGCUAACGCUGUUAAGUGUGCUUACAUGAUGUUGAUGUGUCAUGUUUGACAUAGUAUCAUGUCUGACAUGGCAUGAUGAUGUCAAACCACAUCAUUGGGGCACACUGACGUCUGCAUGCCACGUUAGCACAGUUAAUGGCGUUAGCCACUGAAUCCCCAAAGUGUUAACAAUGUAAUAGUUCAAUACUCGAUUUGUCACGAAAUUUUUUUCAAUUCUUGAAUUGAAAAAAGUGAGAAAGCAUAGGGCACUAAAUUGUAAUUUUCCCAAAAGAAAAUCUUGUUCUAUCUUCUACGAUGCUCUCAUCCCUUUAAAAAUUUUCCAAUGUACUAAAACAAAACUGCAGAGAUGACUUUUGCCAAAAAAAAAAUUCCAAAUAUUAUAGGGAUUAAAGUGGAAGCUGAAGUGCAUGGAAGAAAGCAGCUUAAGUUCCUAAAUCAUGGAGAAACUUAUGUGAUGAAUGCACCAAGUUUGUUGAUUAAAUUUCUACCGCCUGGUCUUGAUUGGGUUGGCAAUGUUAAGAUCCACUGUCAGGAGACUGGCCUUGAAGCUGAGCUAUGUUACUCAACCAAUUCUUUCUUAGGACACAGAGGACACCAUUCCAUUAAAGGAAGGAUCUACCAAUCCUCUUCUAUGAAGACUCUUUAUGAGGUUAAGGGACAUUGGAACAGGUAUAUAUUCAUCUAUUUUACAUUAGAAAGUAUGUUCUUUUUUUUCCCUGCUUCAUCUUUUAAUUAUUUCAUCAAAAUGGUUUCCCUGAUAAUUGAUGAUGUGAGCUUUCCUUGCUAAUUUUGAAAUGCAGCAUUGUGACAGUGAAGGACACCAAUAAUGGGAAAGAGAGAGCUAUUUACAAUGCAAAAGAAGUAAUCUCAGGGCUGAAAACUCCAGCAGUUAACGAUCCUCAGGUACCUCAACAUUGCUUUAACACUUUUUCUUUUUUAGUUUAUUUGGCUCCAACUGGAAUUUGAGACCUUGGAGCCGAGGAGUUUACUCAUUUUCUAAUUGAGUAUUCAAGCUAAAUUAGGCUGUAAAAAACACCAAGCCAAAUGGAUUUACAAGAAAAAAAAUGAGCAACCCAUCGCAAGUCGUGUCAGAAAAUCAUGAAAAUUUGGGCUAUAAAGCAUGAAAGUAGUGCAAACUAAGCUGCAAAAAAUGUCAGUUUACUGCAGGUUGUAAUGUUUCUUAACAAGGUAACUGAUUAUUUUGGUGCAAGAACAUCAUGAAUGACUUUUGUUCAGAUAUAUACCUGAUUUUGAGCUGAUUUUGUUUAAAUAGGGAGUUUUGCCAAGCGAAUCAGCUGCAGUGUGGAGUGCAGUUAGUGAAGGGAUACAGAGCAAAAACUGGGAGAAAGCAAGGGAAGUAAAGAAAGCUGUUGAGGAAAAACAGAGAGAACUUGUGAAAGACAGGAAUUCAAGAGGACAAACUUGGGUUCCUAAACAUUUCAAUUUAUCGUUUACCAAGGAAGGUGGUUGGGACUGCUCACCUAUUCACACAUGGGUGCCACCAGCUCCCAUUGUUGUCCCCCUUUGACUUUCUUUAAUCACAACAAAUUAUCUUUCUGUUAAUUAUAUACAUCAUAUAUAUAUAUAAAAUGGAAUUCACAUUUGAAGAUGUACCCAUGCAUCAAAAUCAACAUAGAUAGAAAGAUAUCAUUUAAGCUUUCAACUCUUGCACACCAAACAUUACAUUGAAAAGGCCAUCUAGUAAUUAAUUCUUGAUAGAUGCUAAUCUUUAUCAAUGAGUUUUAACUUAGUAAUA
RNAcentral lists this unclassified non-coding RNA (2777 nucleotides) under Hevea brasiliensis (rubber tree). The record is from RNAcentral. Lineage: Eukaryota; Viridiplantae; Streptophyta; Magnoliopsida; Malpighiales; Euphorbiaceae.